UCUGUUUCUACUUAGAAUAUGAGCAGGAAAAAAAAAAAAGCCCAGCUAGAAAAUGAGAAAAAUAAGAAAGGGAUGAUCUACAAAAUCAAACUUCUCUUGAGCCCAUCAGAGAGCUGGGGUUGCCAGGAGGCCGAGCAGCUGAGGACCAGGGAGGUACUGCUGCGCCUCGGCAGCGCCCGGGAGGGACAGGUGGCCUCCGCUGUGAUCAGGUAGGACACGGCUCGCAGUCUUAGGGCCAGGUGUGGGUGGGUGCCACCUACAGCAUUGCUGUGAGCCCCUCACGCCCAGGGUACUCAGGAGACGGUGGGAGACACACAGGAGCAGGGCCCAGGAGGACCCCCUCCCUGAGACGGGGUCUUGAAAGGCCCCACCUCCCAGGUCAUUCGCUCAUCUGGACCAAGCGCCCCAGGGUGGGAAAGCCACUGGCCCAUGGGCCCAGAGGACCCUGGACAGCUGCCUCUGGGCAGGGGAGGAACCCCAUCAUGGCGCCUGCUGAGACACUUCUCAGGGAGGUCUCAGAGGUGCCCUGGGGUCAGCCACUCCUUGGAGGAGCCUGUGUCCUUGCUCUCAAACACCAGGUCACACAAAGCCAGUCCCAGGAACCCUCAGGAGACCUUCAGCACCAAAGGAAGCAGGGAUUUCAGAUCACAGGAGAGGCUGGGUUGGGAAGGAGAGGCCAGCGCCCCAGGUCAGCAGGAGCCGGGCUGCCGUGCUCCCGGGCCUCCCUUGUCGAGUGCUGGAUGAACCCCUCUCUGUGUCCUCGGCAGCCGUCGUCUGAGGGGGUCUUGCUCUCCCUCAUGUGGAGGCUGCGGAGGAGCUAGACAGACCCCGCCCGUGCCCAGGGAGGAGCAGGCGAGGGAGGAGUCGGUUCUGUGCAUCUCAGUCUAGAUCUAGAUUUCUUUUUUCAAAUCUGAUACUUGGCAGAACACAAGGACAGCCCGGAACUGGGCCACCCUCCAGGGGAGGCGGUCUUGGCGCUCUCCUGUGGCAUCCCUGUCUGGGAGCACCGUCUCCUUCCCAGCUCCGGCGUCUCCCUUCCCUUUCCUAGUUCAUGCUCGGUUCCUCGCCCCCACCCUGCACGUGGGGCCAGGAGGCUGGGGUACCCCUGAAGUGGAGGUGGCAGGGUCACCUUGGAGACCCAGCCCCUGGCUGAGCGGGGGCUGGAAGGGAGGAGACACAAGGCCUGGGAAGUAGAGAGGGUGUGCACUGAGGGCCUUUGCGACGUCCUCAUCGUCUGCUGGUGAUGGUCACCUCGGGGCUCUGGUGAUGCAAGUUCUGGACCCUCCAACUCGCUGUGUGACCUUGUGCAAGUGCCCAGACCUUGCAGCCUCAGUUACCCCAUUUGAACAAUGAAAGAAUCAAUGAAGGAAUUUGGUGGUUCUCAGUCCUGGCUGUGGUCAUUCCCUCUCCCAGGCAAGAUGGGGUGACAGGGAUUGGAUUCACCCUUCCUCCUGAAUCCAUGGAAGAUUGGUCAUCCUCUCCCCUCGGUGCCUGCUGGGGAUCAGUUGCAGGGAUCCCAAAAUCAGUUCCCUUCCCCCCAUACCCAAAUCUGUGUUGGCUCAAACCCCACAUAAAAUGGUGUAGUAUGUGCUAUAAUCUCUGCACAUCUUCCUGUGAGCUUUAAAUCAUCUGUAGAUUACUUAUAACACCUAACAUAAUGCAAGAAUGUGUGAAUUAUAGUAUUAUUUUGUAUUGUUUGGUGAAUAACCAAAGGAAAGAUUCUGUGCAUGUUCGGUAUAGAUGCAAUUAAAAAAGACAUUAUUGAUAUGGUUGAAUCCUGGCAGCUCCCAGCUAAAGAGGGCUGAGUGCGGAUGAAAUGGUGCUUUCCUAGACACAGGCCAUCAGGCCCUGAAGGAGACGAGAAACAAACGACAUUACCCUGAUUACAGCCCAGAGAGAGUUUCCAGGCCAUGGGGCAGGAGGGUCAAGCCCAGGGAAGCCUGGGAGUGGGGGGGUUAGAGCUGCGGUUUCAGGAGAGCAGGGUGCAGCGGGGGUCCACGGCACACAGAGGCCGAGAGGAGACCGCAGCUCAGGGCGAAGAUGCUGCAGAGUCCCCAGGAGGGAACCGCUCGGCUGUCACCUGUAAAAAUCUUAAAAGCAAGACCCCAAAGGAUCCUAUUGCUCCCAAGUAACUUGACGGUGCUCUGGAAUAAAGUUUAGAAGACGUCUGGCAAAAUAAAACUACCCAGCACCCGACAAGAUAAAAGUCACAGUGUCAGGCGGAGAAAGCUGAGAUGCUACAGCAGGGCCACUCAAAGUCGCUUUCCGAAUAAAUAAUGUCACAAAGAGGGCCGGGGUGUCAACACAUCCAGAGGACGUUCCAUCCUGAAUGUUUAUAGACCUGGUAACAGCUCUCCACAAUACACAGAGCAGGGACAGAAAUAGGAAAGCCACAGAGAUUUCAACACCCCUCGCUCAGAAGAUGACAGAACAAGGAAACAUGAAGUCACCAAGGCGAUAGGGGACUUGAUCAACCCUAUCAACCAACUUGACCUAAUUGACAUUUACAGAACACCCCACCCUGCUAUGACAGAGCUGCCUUCUUCUUAAGUACAUUUCGAAAUAUGUCGAGAUAGACCAGAUUCUGGGUCCUGAGACAAAUCUCAAUAAAUUUAAAGGAGACAAGUUGCUGAAAGUAUGUUCUGUGACCAGAGCAGAAUUAAAUUAGAAAUGAAUAACAGAGAGAUCUCCGAAAAGUCUCCAAAUAUUUUGAAACCAAAUGGCACACUUCUAAAUUGCCCAUGUGUUAAAGAAUAAAUCAAAAGAGGAACUAGAAAGUGUUUUUCACUGAAACAAAAGUGAACGUACAACACAUCAGAAUUAGAGUGCUGCUGCUAUAGCAGUACUUAGGGGAAAUUCUAAAACUAAAUGCCUACGUUAGAAAAGAAGAAAUGUCUCAAGUCAAUGACCUCAGUUGUCACUUAAGACACUGGAAACAAGAGCAAAUUAAAUCCAAUGUAGGUAGCAGCAAAGAAAAAAGCGUUAAAUAUAAAUCAGUGGAGAAAUGCAACAGAGAAAAUGAAUAAAACCAAAGCUGGUUCUUUAAUAUCAAUAAAAUGAGCCGGCACCGUGGCGCACGCCUGUAAUCCCAGCAGCCUGGGAGGCUGAGGCAAGAGGAUCGUGAGUUCAAAGCCAGCCUCAGCAAAAGCGAGGUGCUAAGCAACUCCGUGAGACCCUGUCUCUAAAUAAAAUAAAAGAAUAGGUCUGAGGAUGUGGCUCUGUGGUUGAGUGCCCCUGAGUUCAAUCUCCAGUACCCACCCCAAUCAAUAAAAUUGAUAAGCCCCUAAGCCACACUGACUGGGGGAAAUAAAGGAGAGAAGACACAACUAAUGAGUAUCCAGAAGGAGAGUCGUGACCUUGCAGAUUCUAUAUCUGUUAUUUGGAAUUUUUCUACAAAGAAUAUAGGUCUUUUUCCAUCUAUCUAUUUUACCUAUAUAUCUAUCAUCUAUUGGAUUAUUUCAGCAUUGGAUUCUUACUUUAUACUUUGGGUAAUAAUCCAAUUCUACUUCAAUGACUUCUUUGCUCAAAUAUCUUCAGCUUUGACUGCUGAGUAUUGCGGGGUGUCCAGCAGCUCGCCAGGGAAUUCUUGCCUGCUCCGAGGGAUAAGCCUCCUGGGAAAUUAAAAUCUUGGAUAAUUAGUGAGGAACAAAAGACCAAGAAUCAGAAAGGAGAGUUUUAAAGAUGGAGCCCUGACAGGUCCAGUCCACACAGGAUCUGGAGCUAGACAAUUAGCUCCGGUGGUGUAUUUAAGGGGGUACAUCAAAGGCAGGGGUAAGGUUUCAAGGGUGGAGUCUUGCUUUGUGACAUCUUGCAGUCAGCAGGUUGAUCGGCAUCUUGGCAGGUCACACCCAUCUCAGAGGGACUGUGCGGUGGGGUGGUUGGAGCAGGUCACCCCAUCUCUGGUGCUGUGUGGGACCAGGCAGAGCGGAAUAGGGUUCACGAUGUCUCUGGGCAGUCAAGCAGAGGAAAUGUCCACUGGAAGUUCCCAGACACCAGACUGUCCUCUUCACUAGGUCGUGAUGUGCAGUCAAGUCCACACAUAACCCACAGACGGCUCUCAACCGUUGAGAGUUCCUUUAGUUGAUACCCAGGUCCCUUUGGUAUUCUUCCAACCUUGUAGGGUCUUUGUGUGUGUGUGCGUCAUUGUUUUCUGGCACUAAAAAAUAUGCCAGGCCCCUCUGGUGUACUUUUGGCCCUAUCUUAGAGUCAGCCAUUUUUUUUAUUGGAGAAUGGUUUUAGAGACCAAGAUGGCGGUACCCAUGUGCUCAUCACAGUUGGGUAUCCUUGUUUCUAGGCCGUCCCAGUUUGCAGAAUAAGGAGACAGACCCUAAGCUGUGCAUUCACACAUCUGUAGAAGUAUUUCUGUAUGUAAAAGUCUGUGUCUUUAGUUGGACUAAUGUGACUUCACACGGAUGUCUCCAUCUCUGAUCUAUUACAUGGUUCGUUCUAGCUGUCUCCUCUUAUUUGUCUGUGACUUUCUCCUGCAGCAGUGAGAGUCCUGACCUGCACCACCUGCCAUUCAUGUACUUAAUUGUUAUUCCCGGUGUCGGGGACAGUAGAGUGAUUUCAGAACUGUGAACUCGUCCCCCAUAGCAACAGCCUUGUCAAGCAGAGCCCAGGGCUAGGUGCAGUCCUUUGGGCAAUUAGUCCUGUGGGCUCCACCUGGAGUCCGAGCUACAUGGACCAGCCCCUUUUAUCUUCCCUCCUGAAGUGAAGUCAUUCCACACAUUUGUCAUGCUGUUAAAUUCUUUUGUCACAGCUUACAUUCCAUCCUGAGGUCUCCCGACGUCCUAGAUGAUUGUUUAAAAAAAUCUGUAUACAUUCGGGUUCACUUUUCUGCCGUCAGAUUCUAUGGAUUUUGACAAAGGCACAUAUCAGUUAUGACAUUGUACAUAAUCGUCUUGAAAACCUCCUGGACGUCUCCUCUUUAACCCUUCCCACCCACCAAACCCCCAGCAUCCACUGAUCUGCUUACUAUGGCUGAUUUGCCUUUUCCCAGAAUGUCAUCUAAAUGUAACCUCUGCAGAUGGGCCUCGCUCCCGUGGCAACUGGGAGAUUUGUCCCCGUCAUUGUGUGACUCGACCGCUGGCUCCUUCUAAGUGCCAUUCCAGUGUGUGGGUGUCCCGCCUGCAUCCACGCACCUAUGGAAGGACCGCUCGGUGGCCUGCUGCUCUUAGGAACCAUGAGUGGGCUGCUGAAAGCCUUCAGGUGCGGGCUCUGGUGUGUUCGUAAGUUUUCAUAUCAGUUGGGUAAACACCUGGGAGUGUAAUCGCUGCAUCUCAUGGUAAGAUCCUUCUGCUUCGUGAGAAACCGCCAACUGUCUCUCAACGUGGCUGUGCGAUCUCGUCUUCACACCACCAAGGAACGAGAGUUUCUGUUGAUCCACAUUCUCUCCAGGAGUGUGUAUUGCCUGGGAUGGGACUUAAAAAAAAAAAUCUAGAUACCUCGGCCCUGUUCCCGGGGAUUCUGCCUCCAUCAGCCUGUGGUGACCUAGGGGACCGUCAGGCGACCCUGGCGUGCGCAGCAGCCGUGCUCUCCCGUCCUGGGAGACACAGUCCUUUGGGGCUACCUGCUCGUCCUGGCCCAGGCUCCCCCUCGCUCCCCUCCCUCUCUGGGGUGAGUGGGGGCUCCGUGCUCUCCAGCUCCCUUGCCCCUUCCUCUCCCACUUACCAACAGCCCCACUCCACAGCCCUCUGGGACGAGGGCCAGGCGCACUCUGCAGAGCCAGUCUUCAGGAGAGGAGCAGGAAGUGACAGGCGCAGCCCUGCCGCUCGGCCUCCUCAGGCCCCUUGACUGAUGGUGGGGACCGUGUUGCUGGAUCAUAAGUCCAUUCCUCACCCCACCGCCCCGUGUGCUGGGCUUUGUCCUCCUUUGUCUCCAGGUGGCCUGUCCUGAGGUCCCUGGGGGAUUCCCUCCAUUGGGAUAAGCUCCUCCAUCCUUCACCAGGAUGGCUGCAUCGGGGCCUCCUCACCCCACUCUGCCCCAGUGCAAUGGCUGCCCCUCCUCAGGGGGCUGCUCCCUCUCCCUACAGGGGUCCUGGUGAAGGUCAUCUGAGGGGUCUCCCAAGGCAGAUUUGGGGGCAGUGGGUGGAUGCCCUGAGAAGGAGAGAUGUGUCCAGAGUUGGGGUGGACAGGCCGCCCUGGGGAGAGGUGGUGAGCUCCCCAUCCCUGAGGUGUGCACAGAGGGCAAGUGAUCGUCAGCAGAGGCCUCACAGGAGGCAGAGAGGCUGAGAGUGUGGCCUCAGAGGCUGAGUGGUCUGGGCAGAGCCUGGCCACGCGACUCACCAGGCGUCCGACCCCCAGCAGCGGAUCCACCCUCCCUGAGCCUCGGUUUCUUCAUCUGGAAAAUCAGGCAGAGAGGUAGUUCCUGCUCCGAAGGUUGCCAUGGAGACAGCAGGACACAGGGUGUUCGAAGCUCUGAGCACAGAGCACUUAUUAUCCAGCCCAGGGGGAGGGGACAGGGUGACAGCGCUGAGGGGUGGCGAUUCAACCUGGCUGUCGUUUAAACACCGAGGCUCUGGGACCCCGCGAUUCAAUUACCCUACAAUGAGAUUCCCUGAGACCCUAAGGCUGUAAGUCAUCGUUAUUGUUAUUCUUCUCAUCUGAGGCUCCUCGGAAGCCCAAGCUGUGGGAUUUCAAGAUUCACAUUCUGUAGCCAUCCCUCCAGCAAGGAAGUUCCCAGCCAUGAACUGCAGGGGACCUUCAUCCUUGUCCCUCUUUCCACUUCUGAUCUUCCAUCUUUGACCCCGGGGCCCAGGCUACGUCCCCAGGGCCCCUUUUCUAAUCCCAGCCUCAUGCAUGGCACCCCUUGCUCUGAGGCCACCGGGCCCCGGUGACUUCACUGAAGUGGGCUCCGCACACUCUCAGCAUCCCGUCCUCUCUGCUGGACCCCGACAUCACCUGCUGAAAUGUCACCCUACUUUCAAGGCCAGAGUCAAAGGCGGACCUUCCCAGAGGCCUUCUUCCCCUCCCACUUGAAACGGAUGUCCUCUGUCGGUACCCCUGGACACUCUGCUGAACCCACUCUCACAGCCCUUGCUGCGUGUGGUCAGUGCUGCGAGGAGCCCUGGUCCUGUCUCCCACAGGGUGUCCUCCUCUACCCCUGCUGGGCCCCGCCCUACGGAGAGGACAACAGGCCAUCUGAGUGGUCAGGGGUGGGGGACCAAUGGGGCCAGCGUUGUGGGGGGCAGUGUUGGGCGUGGAAGGAGGUGACACUGGGUGCUGGAGCCCAGCUGGGGCCUCUGCCUGGGGCUGGUGGGCCUGCCGCAGUCACCCCAUUUCCAUGGCAACCGGAGUCCUCUGGCUGGGGCCACACCUCAACGUAGCCCUGCCUCGGGGAAGGGAUUGGCCUGCGGUCCACCUGCCCGUCAUGGCUGCUCAGAGAAGGGCGGCUCCCCACAGCUGGCCAGGUGUCUGCCAGGCUGCUAGACCCACAGCCAGGGGAGGCGGGGCAGGUCAGAGCCAGGCGUCCCAGGCAGGGGACGGCAUGUGUCUUCCUAGCCCCAAGCUCAGCACUUCAUCUCCCUCUGGCUCCCACCGCCUGGCUCCGUCCCCGCCUGCUGGCCCUCAGUGGGCUCUGUUGGAUGAACCUGGUGACCACAGGUCCCCAUUGCAGCUCCUUCAAAGCAAACCCCUCUCUGCCCCUGACACGACUCUGCUCUCCGGUCACCAGCCUCAGGACCCUGGACUUCAGUCUUUGAUUCCCACCGGCAGCCGCCCAGCACCUGGGCUCCCGGCGGAUAGUCCUCCUUCCUCCUUCUCCCAACCCCCUCUGGGCAUGUUCCCUGCACAACGGGGUCCACACCUCCGUCAGCUCACCCCUGAGGGACCUCCCAGGCUCCCAGCUCCUUCCAUUCAUGUGACGAGAUCUUCCUAAGCCAGACUUUGUCUCUGUGGGAGCCAUGGGGGCUUCCUUUGGCCCCAGGGACAAAGUCCAGGCCCCUCAGCAUGACCAACAGGCCAUUUCAUCCAGUCAGUAUACAGGUAACCAGCCCCUGCUCUGUGCCGGGCGCUGGGGACACAGCAGAGAAAAAUAAUAACAGCAAAAAUAUGAUUCGGGGUCUCCGGAAGCUCCUCUUCUGUGGGGAGGGUGGACCACAAACGCAUACAUCAAACGUAUUUGGUAUGUGACGUGAAAAAUGCAAAAGAGAAAAAUAAAAAGAAGGGCCCCGGGGCUGGGUGUGGCUAAUAUUGACAUUUUAAUGAAAACUUGAAGGAAGUGAAGGAGGGAGCCAUGUGGGUGCUAGAGGAGGAGCAUUCCAGGCACAGAGAAUAAUGACUGCAGGACCCUCCAGGACUCCAUUCAAACAUUCGAUCUAAGAUGCCCACCCUGCCCUGGCCAACUCAGGCCUCCUUAUGGGCCUCCUGGGCUUGGCAGGCUUGGCCCUGUCCAGAGAUGAGCUGUGUGAUCUGCCAAGACCUUUAUUUAAAGGACCAGAUCCCCCUGCUGACUAUGAGCCCUGGGAGAGCAGGGACAUUGUUGGACUUGUUUAUUCCUCACCCCUGAGCUCAGUAUGUGUCUAGCACAUAGUAGAAGCUCAGCAAAUCACCUGGAUGAAAAAGUAGGAGAAAGGGGAGGGAGAAAGGAUAAAAACACCCCUGUUCCUUUCAAUAGAGCAGAAACAGCCCUAAACGUUGUAGAUUCAUUUUAUUUGUGGGAUGAGAGGGAAGCGGGGUCUGUUCCAAGUUGACUCUUUUCUCUUCCCUUUCCCUGUUUCCUUCCCUUCCCUUCUCUGUUCAAAAACACACAUUGCAUAAUCAGAACCGGCGGUUAUGGCUCCAUCCCCAGCCUGUGCCUCCGAGACGCAGGGCCCUGAAGAGAGGAACCGUUUCAUAUUUAAUCAGUAUUAGUUCUGGAAUGCCCUUGGGUGAGCGGGCUCACUUCAGGGCUGUGGAGUUUAAUUCUCCGUGAUGCUAAUUAGAUCGGGAGAAGCUCUUGGCCUCUGAGCAGGAUGCAGGGGGGUCGCCCACUAACAAGCCACCCCCUGCCCCACCCGCUCAUCCUCAUCUCUCCAGCCCCCGUCCCAAGGGGGGAGCAGCGCUAGUCGCACCUCUUAGAAGAGGAGGGACGGCGGCUGAUGUGCAGAGAGAGGCCAGACCUCUCCCUCCAGCUCGGCUCAGAAGCUCCCGGGAGCUCCUUCUGCAAGGCAGGUGGGAGGAGCAGCAGGAGGAGGGGCGUUGGACCCGCAGGCAACCAGGGCUGCCCUUCUCUGCGUAUGGACAGGCUCUCUCCUUGCCCAGCUCUCCUCUCCUUCUUCAUUCAACCUCCGAUUCUCACCACCACCACCAUCUUCCCCCAGGUCCUGGAGAUCCUGGGCACAGAGCUGGGGAAUCUGCCUCAGGACCUUAUCAUCUCCAUUCCACAGCCAGGAAAGCUGAGGCUUGGAAGGCAAAACCACGGGUGUCACCAUGGUAAGGGGGAGCAGGGCUGGAAGAGAGGGCGGCAGAGCUGCAGUCCUGUGUCACAGCGGACAGUGGUGUGAGCCACCGGCACACGCUGGUCUCUGGGCAUCAGUUCCCUUCUCCGUCUCUUUGUGUUUGAAGUCCCCAUGGUACCAUCUGGUGAUGGCUGGACAUGGUGUCCAUUCUGCAGAGGCACAAACUGAGGCUCAGAGAUGGGGACAGCUUUGCCCAUGUGCGUACCCUUAGGGCUUGGUAGGCGCUGGAACCUGGCCCAGGGCGCCUGGCAUUGUCAUCCCCCGUUCUCCUGCUCAGCCCCGGCCUGGCCUGAUGGAGCAGCUUGCCCUCCCCGGGCUCCCUGGGGCAGACAGGUUUGCUCAGGGUUGAGGCGCAUCUUUCAGGUCAGACACAAGGUCAGACCUUCCAAACGAGCCCACACGUGUGCCACAGAGUGUGCCAGACAUGGCCUGGAUCACCCCAGGCCCCGGGGGCUGAACUUCUCUCCCUGCCUGUCCCCUUCCCUCUGCCUGAGGUGACAGUGCAGGGUGGCUUCAAGCCCUUGCACCUGAAGGCCCAGGAGGGAGUCCUAGCUCUGCCCGGCACCUGGUGGGCCCUUCCGGCUCACCUCUCCUGGCUGAGACUCAGUUUCCUCAUCUGUACGGGGACAGGGACCGUGCCCUUCCCUGACGUGUUGGGAGGCUGGGAUGGUGGCGGACAGGUGAGUUGCUCAGAACGGGGCUGCGCACACAGUGACCGCCCAGGACACGUGGCUCCUUCAGUAUUUUGGUUUGUCCCCAGGGUCCAGAUUAGAGGGUAAACCAGUCCCCAAUCCAAGGCCCCAGAGUGUCCCCAAGUCCCCACCUGGCUCUAUGAUGACUCUCUGUGUGACCUCAGACAUCUUCAGCCCUUUCCGACUCUCCGUCUUUCCAUGGAAAAGCUGGACUAGGGCAGGCCCAUGGACGUCAGCCUACGGGACGGGAGGGAUCGGGAGGCCAUCGUUUGGGGUGACACAUGACGGAACCUUAGUGCAGCCAGUCCCAGGUCCGAGCAGCCACCUGCUGUUGAGGGUCCAUUCCCCUGCAGGGGGCUGUGCCGGGGUCUGAUGGACUCUCCGACACUCCCUUUGAAGUUUGUCACCAGUGCAGGGUAUCGGGAGUGGGGAUUUUUGGAGAUGAGUGGCGUGGGUGGCCCAAAGUCCCCUGGGUGGUUUAAUGACUAAUAAAAGGCGCAGGGGGACGGGUGUGCUCCUCCUCUUAGUUCCUCCACCUUCCACCAUGGGCGGGGGGAAGGCUCUUGCCAGGUACCUUGAUCUUGGACCUCCCAAGACGUAGCUCGAAAUGGACUAAGGUGGGUGGGGACCUUCUAGAGAUGUCCACCUGCUCCCUGCAGCCUUGCCCCUGGGGAGGACGGGCGUUUCUUCUGUUCCAGAGUAAAGCAGGGGCCAGGCCAGCCUCCAGGACUCCCCGGGAGACCUAAUGGGUAUAGAGGCCACCGUGAGUGCAGGAGGCUGGUCACCGGACACCUGAGCUGUGCAUCGAGGGUCUCAGGAAAUAAACGUCCCUGUCUCUCUACAGAGGAAGGCGAACCUGGUCCCCUGGAAAGUGACCCCUUGAUGCCUGGCGUGGGAUGUGCUGAGAGGCGGGGCCUAAAAGCUCCUCCCCUGGUUCUCCAUCACAAUCCAUAGGCCCUCUCCUGGGCGUCCGAGGUCUGGCUAUCGACUCACUCUUCCUCAGUGGUGCUUCUGGGCCCCCCUGUGCCCGGCCUUGGGUGGACCACGUGGAAACUAGAAGGAUUUGUCGUGACCCCUGCCUGGCCAGUGAAGAGCACCGGGAGACAGCUGGACACUGGCCACGCCAGCAGGGGUGCUGAGGAGGGUCCGAAGGAGGAGCUGAUGCUGGAGGGGGCAGGGGACAGGGGACAGACAGCUCCUCUUCAGAUGCCCAGCCCCAGGCAGCGAGCCAG
This 11360-nucleotide long non-coding RNA is filed under the name Marmota monax (woodchuck). Lineage: Eukaryota; Metazoa; Chordata; Mammalia; Rodentia; Sciuridae. The record is from RNAcentral.